This 397-nucleotide ribosomal RNA is filed under the name uncultured bacterium. Its description in RNAcentral is "partial 16S ribosomal RNA". It matches the Rfam family "Bacterial small subunit ribosomal RNA", at positions 523 to 918 of the family's 1533-position model. The record is from RNAcentral.
AUACGUCGGUGACAAGCGUUAUCCGGAUUUACUGGGCGUAAAGGGCGUGUAGGCGGCCUUGCAAAUCAGAAGUGAAAUUCCUGAGCUCAGCUAGGGCGCUGCUUCUGAAACUGCAGGACUUGAGUGCUGGAGGGGAAAGCGGAAUUCCUAGUGGAGCGGGAAAAUGCGUAGAUAUUAGGAAGAACACCGGUGGCGAAGGCGGCUAUCUGGACAGUAACAGACGCUGAGGCGCUAACGCGUGGGGAACAAACAGGAUUAGAUUCCCUGGUAGUCCACGCCGUAAACGAUGAAUACUAGGUGUAGUGGGUAUCGACUCCCUCUGUGCCGCAGUUAACACAAUAAGUAUUCCGCCUGGGGAGUACGGCCGCAAGGUUGAAACUCAAAUGAAUUGACGGGG